Molecule: ribosomal RNA, 460 nt
Filed under: uncultured bacterium
Lineage: Bacteria
Description: partial 16S ribosomal RNA
Rfam family: Bacterial small subunit ribosomal RNA
Source: RNAcentral
CCUACGGGGGACAGCAGUGAGGAAUAUUGGUCAAUGGGCGCGAGCCUGAACCAGCCAAGUAGCGUGAAGGAUGACUGCCCUACGGGUUGUAAACUUCUUUUAUAAAGGAAUAAAGUGAGGCACGUGUGCCUUUUUGUAUGUACUUUAUGAAUAAGGAACGGCUUACUCCGUGCCAGCAGCCGCGGUAAUACGGAGGGACCGAGCGUUAGCCGGAUUUAAUGGGUUUAAAGGGAGCGUAGAUGGGUUGUUAAGUCAGUUGUUAAAGUUUGCGGCUCAACCGUAAAACUGCAAUUGAUACUGGCAGCCUUGAGUACAGUUGAGGAAGGCGGAAUUCGUGGUGUAGCGGUGAAAUGCUUAGAUAUCACGAAGAACUCCGAUUGCGAAGGCAGCUUACUAAACUGCCACUGACAUUGAUGCUCGAAAGUGUGGGUAUCAAACAGGAUUAGAUACCCCAGUAGUC